Molecule: ribosomal RNA, 497 nt
Filed under: uncultured bacterium
Lineage: Bacteria
Description: partial 16S ribosomal RNA
Rfam family: Bacterial small subunit ribosomal RNA
Source: RNAcentral
GAUGAACGCUGGCGGCGUGCCUAAUACAUGCAAGUCGAGCGAACAGACGAGGAGCUUGCGCCCAUGACGUUAGCGGCGGACGGGAGCGUAACACGUGGUUAACCUACCUAUAAGACAGGGAUAACUUCGGGAAACCGGAGCUAAUACCGGAUGAUAUAUCGAACCGCAUGGUUCAAUAGUGAAAGACGCUUUUGCGGUCACUUAUAGAUGGAUCCGCGCAUCAUUAGCAAGUUGGUAAGGUAACGGCUUACCAAGGCAACGAUGCGUAGCCGCCCUGAGGGGGUCGUCGGCCACACGGUCACUGAGACUCGUCCGCGACACCUGCAGGAGGCCGCAGUACGGAAUCCUCCGCGAUGGGCGAGUGGGUGAUGUUGCAACACCGCGGGAAGGCUGAUGGUCUUAGGAUGGUAGAGCUCUGUUGUUAGGAAAGUUCAAAAGUGUUUGUAACUGUGCACGUCAUGACGGUACCGAAUCAAAAAGCUCCGGCUAACUCCGUG